GCUUUAGUUUAUUUUUUUGAUGAUAUCAAAAAGAAGGAGAAUGAUAUCAUAAUGGAGAAAGUAGUAUAUUGUCUAUCUGUAAUUUUUUAAAUUUACAUGCUUCUUUUAAAUUUUUUGUUCUGAUACAAUAUUUUACACUGAUACGUCCAUUUUUUACUCUGAUACAUCUAUUUUUAUCCUCAUUUUGAUACUAUUUGAAAAAUUGCUCUAAUACAUCUAUUUUUCUUGAGUGCUCUGAUAUUUCUG
Molecule: long non-coding RNA, 246 nt
Filed under: Elaeis guineensis (African oil palm)
Lineage: Eukaryota; Viridiplantae; Streptophyta; Magnoliopsida; Arecales; Arecaceae
Description: long non-coding RNA (EGUI_LNC017417)
Source: RNAcentral